This 496-nucleotide ribosomal RNA is filed under the name uncultured bacterium. Its description in RNAcentral is "partial 16S ribosomal RNA". It matches the Rfam family "Bacterial small subunit ribosomal RNA", at positions 28 to 506 of the family's 1533-position model. The record is from RNAcentral.
GAUGAACGCUGGCGGCGUGCCUAAUACAUGCAAGUCGAGCGAACAGACGAGGAGCUUGCUCCUCUGACGUUAGCGGCGGACGGGUGAGUAACACGUGGAUAACCUACCUAUAAGACUGGGAUAACUUCGGGAAACCGGAGCUAAUACCGGAUAAUAUAUUGAACCGCAUGGUUCAAUAGUGAAAGACGGUUUUGCUGUCACUUAUAGAUGGAUCCGCGCCGCAUUAGCUAGUUGGUAAGGUAACGGCUUACCAAGGCAACGAUGCGUAGCCGACCUGAGAGGGUGAUCGGCCACACUGGAACUGAGACACGGUCCAGACUCCUACGGGAGGCAGCAGUAGGGAAUCUUCCGCAAUGGGCGAAAGCCUGACGGAGCAACGACGCGUGAGUGAUGAAGGUCUUCGGAUCGUAAAACUCUGUUAUUAGGGAAGAACAAAUGUGUAAGUAACUAUGCACGUCUUGACGGUACCGAAUCAGAAAGCCACGGCUAACUACGU